This 252-nucleotide ribosomal RNA is filed under the name uncultured bacterium. Its description in RNAcentral is "partial 16S ribosomal RNA". It matches the Rfam family "Bacterial small subunit ribosomal RNA", at positions 524 to 777 of the family's 1533-position model. The record is from RNAcentral.
UACGAAGGGGCUAGCGUUGCUCGGAAUCACUGGGCGUAAAGCGCACGUAGGCGGCUUUCUAAGUCAGACGUGAAAUCCCUCAGCUCAACUGGGGAACUGCGUCUGAGACUGGUCAGCUUGAGUGCAGGAAGAGGACGCGGAAUUCAGGUGUAGCGGUGAAAUGCGUAGAUAUCUGGAGGAACACCGGUGGCGAAGGCGGCGUUCUGGACUGCAACUGACACUGAGGAACGAAAGCCAGGGGAGCAAAACGGG